CUUGUUCACAAAAUUAAGCAUCUGCUCCUUGCUCUGCUAGCGUAUCUCCUCCUGUGUUACUUCCUCAAAUUUGUUCUGAGUCAUGGAUGGUUACACCCUGCACCACCCUGCACAAGACUCGGCCACCGGAGGCUACUCCUCAGCUGCUAAAGGAGGGCUUGCUGGUGUCCUCGUCGUACUCCUUGCUAUCGUCGUUUAUGUAUUCUUCAAGCGCCAAAACUGCCUCGAGGAGGUCGACCCCGGGAAGAUUCAGGUGAUCAAUAUUGUUGAAAUGGGAGAAAGGAGCGGCCAUGCUGGGAAAUAAGAAUCCAUGAAGUACCCGGAUGCCUCGACUGUUCCUUUUUA
Long non-coding RNA from Populus euphratica (Euphrates poplar), 345 nucleotides. RefSeq lists it as uncharacterized. The record is from RefSeq and is a predicted model, not a curated record. The transcript is spliced from 3 exons. Lineage: Eukaryota; Viridiplantae; Streptophyta; Magnoliopsida; Malpighiales; Salicaceae.